CUUGCCGGCGCCCGCCGCCCGCCGCAGCCUGGGCGACUACUGGCUGAGCCCGCAGCGCCGCCACCCUCCGGGUGCCGCCUGGCACUGGCCCGCACGCAACCUGUUACUGCUGCCCCCGGCCACCGGCCUGGCCGACGUACCCUCGGCGCGCUGGCCCAGCUGCUACGGCGCGCGCCCGAGACUCACGUGGAAGCACCGGUGGCAGAAUAUUAACUACUAUUUUCUGGGCAAAAGGAAGCGACAUCUAGUUCCCUUGCGCCCGUGAGAGCCGGCUGGAGUACAGUGGCGUGAUCUCAGCUGACUGCAACCUCUGCCUUCCGGGUUCAAGCGAUUCUCCUGCCUCAGCCUCCGAAGUAGCUGGGAUUACAG
Molecule: long non-coding RNA, 369 nt
Filed under: Homo sapiens (human)
Lineage: Eukaryota; Metazoa; Chordata; Mammalia; Primates; Hominidae
Description: HSALNT0291243
Source: RNAcentral